Molecule: long non-coding RNA, 411 nt
Filed under: Salmo salar (Atlantic salmon)
Lineage: Eukaryota; Metazoa; Chordata; Actinopteri; Salmoniformes; Salmonidae
Description: lncRNA (ENSSSAG00000082059.1)
Source: RNAcentral
GGUUUAUAGAGUUACAGGUCAAUACGGGGUUUAUAGAGUUACAGGUCACUAUGUGGUUUAUAGAGUUACAGGUCACUAUGUGGUUUAUAGAGUUACAGGUCAAUACGGGGUUUAUAGAGUUACAGGUCAAUACGGGGUUUAUAGAGUUACAGGUCACUAUGUGGUUUAUUACAGUUACAGGUCACUAUGUGGUUUAUAGAGUUACAGGUCAAUAUGUGGUUUAUUACAGUUACAGGUCACUAUGUGGUUUAUAGAGUUACAGGUCAAUACGGGGUUUAUAGAGUUACAGGUCAAUACAUGGUUUAUAGAUUUUUAUUACAUAGCUUAUAUGUUUAUAACAUGGUAUAUAUGUCUAUAACAUGUUUAUAGAUCUUUAUAAACAUACAAUAGAAUCACUCAAUUGACCUAAUU